This 2902-nucleotide ribosomal RNA is filed under the name Klebsiella pneumoniae. RNAcentral describes it as "23S ribosomal RNA". It matches the Rfam family "Bacterial large subunit ribosomal RNA". Lineage: Bacteria; Pseudomonadati; Pseudomonadota; Gammaproteobacteria; Enterobacterales; Enterobacteriaceae. The record is from RNAcentral.
GGUUAAGCGACUAAGCGUACACGGUGGAUGCCCUGGCAGUCAGAGGCGAUGAAGGACGUGCUAAUCUGCGAAAAGCGUCGGUAAGGUGAUAUGAACCGUUAUAACCGGCGAUGUCCGAAUGGGGAAACCCAGUGUGAUUCGUCACACUAUCGUUAACUGAAUACAUAGGUUAACGAGGCGAACCGGGGGAACUGAAACAUCUAAGUACCCCGAGGAAAAGAAAUCAACCGAGAUUCCCCCAGUAGCGGCGAGCGAACGGGGAGCAGCCCAGAGUCUGAAUCAGCUUGUGUGUUAGUGGAACGGUCUGGAAAGUCCGACGGUACAGGGUGAUAGUCCCGUACACCAAAAUGCACAGGCUGUGAACUCGAAGAGUAGGGCGGGACACGUGGUAUCCUGUCUGAAUAUGGGGGGACCAUCCUCCAAGGCUAAAUACUCCUGACUGACCGAUAGUGAACCAGUACCGUGAGGGAAAGGCGAAAAGAACCCCGGCGAGGGGAGUGAAAAAGAACCUGAAACCGUGUACGUACAAGCAGUGGGAGCACCUUCGGGUGUGACUGCGUACCUUUUGUAUAAUGGGUCAGCGACUUAUAUUCUGUAGCAAGGUUAACCGUAUAGGGGAGCCGCAGGGAAACCGAGUCUUAACUGGGCGUUAAGUUGCAGGGUAUAGACCCGAAACCCGGUGAUCUAGCCAUGGGCAGGUUGAAGGUUGGGUAACACUAACUGGAGGACCGAACCGACUAAUGUUGAAAAAUUAGCGGAUGACUUGUGGCUGGGGGUGAAAGGCCAAUCAAACCGGGAGAUAGCUGGUUCUCCCCGAAAGCUAUUUAGGUAGCGCCUCGUGAACUCAUCUUCGGGGGUAGAGCACUGUUUCGGCUAGGGGGUCAUCCCGACUUACCAACCCGAUGCAAACUACGAAUACCGAAGAAUGUUAUCACGGGAGACACACGGCGGGUGCUAACGUCCGUCGUGAAGAGGGAAACAACCCAGACCGCCAGCUAAGGUCCCAAAGUCAUGGUUAAGUGGGAAACGAUGUGGGAAGGCACAGACAGCCAGGAUGUUGGCUUAGAAGCAGCCAUCAUUUAAAGAAAGCGUAAUAGCUCACUGGUCGAGUCGGCCUGCGCGGAAGAUGUAACGGGGCUAAACCAUGCACCGAAGCUGCGGCAGCGACACUAUGUGUUGUUGGGUAGGGGAGCGUUCUGUAAGCCUGCGAAGGUGACCUGUGAGGGUUGCUGGAGGUAUCAGAAGUGCGAAUGCUGACAUAAGUAACGAUAAAGCGGGUGAAAAGCCCGCUCGCCGGAAGACCAAGGGUUCCUGUCCAACGUUAAUCGGGGCAGGGUGAGUCGACCCCUAAGGCGAGGCCGAAAGGCGUAGUCGAUGGGAAACAGGUUAAUAUUCCUGUACUUGGUGUUACUGCGAAGGGGGGACGGAGAAGGCUAUGUUAGCCGGGCGACGGUUGUCCCGGUUUAAGCAUGUAGGCUGGUUAUCCAGGCAAAUCCGGAUAAUCAAGGCUGAGGUGUGAUGACGAGGCACUACGGUGCUGAAGUAACAAAUGCCCUGCUUCCAGGAAAAGCCUCUAAGCAUCAGGUAACAUCAAAUCGUACCCCAAACCGACACAGGUGGUCAGGUAGAGAAUACCAAGGCGCUUGAGAGAACUCGGGUGAAGGAACUAGGCAAAAUGGUGCCGUAACUUCGGGAGAAGGCACGCUGGUGUGUAGGUGAAGUCCCUGCGGAUGGAGCUGAGACCAGUCGAAGAUACCAGCUGGCUGCAACUGUUUAUUAAAAACACAGCACUGUGCAAACACGAAAGUGGACGUAUACGGUGUGACGCCUGCCCGGUGCCGGAAGGUUAAUUGAUGGGGUUAUCCGUAAGGAGAAGCUCUUGAUCGAAGCCCCGGUAAACGGCGGCCGUAACUAUAACGGUCCUAAGGUAGCGAAAUUCCUUGUCGGGUAAGUUCCGACCUGCACGAAUGGCGUAAUGAUGGCCAGGCUGUCUCCACCCGAGACUCAGUGAAAUUGAACUCGCUGUGAAGAUGCAGUGUACCCGCGGCAAGACGGAAAGACCCCGUGAACCUUUACUAUAGCUUGACACUGAACAUUGAGCCUUGAUGUGUAGGAUAGGUGGGAGGCUUUGAAGCGUGGACGCCAGUCUGCGUGGAGCCAACCUUGAAAUACCACCCUUUAAUGUUUGAUGUUCUAACGUUGGCCCCUGACCGGGGUUGCGGACAGUGUCUGGUGGGUAGUUUGACUGGGGCGGUCUCCUCCCAAAGCGUAACGGAGGAGCACGAAGGUUAGCUAAUCCUGGUCGGACAUCAGGAGGUUAGUGCAAUGGCAUAAGCUAGCUUGACUGCGAGCGUGACGGCGCGAGCAGGUGCGAAAGCAGGUCAUAGUGAUCCGGUGGUUCUGAAUGGAAGGGCCAUCGCUCAACGGAUAAAAGGUACUCCGGGGAUAACAGGCUGAUACCGCCCAAGAGUUCAUAUCGACGGCGGUGUUUGGCACCUCGAUGUCGGCUCAUCACAUCCUGGGGCUGAAGUAGGUCCCAAGGGUAUGGCUGUUCGCCAUUUAAAGUGGUACGCGAGCUGGGUUUAGAACGUCGUGAGACAGUUCGGUCCCUAUCUGCCGUGGGCGCUGGAGAAUUGAGGGGGGCUGCUCCUAGUACGAGAGGACCGGAGUGGACGCAUCACUGGUGUUCGGGUUGUCAUGCCAAUGGCACUGCCCGGUAGCUAAAUGCGGAAGAGAUAAGUGCUGAAAGCAUCUAAGCACGAAACUUGCCCCGAGAUGAGUUCUCCCUGAGACUUUAAGUCUCCUGAAGGAACGUUAAAGACGAUGACGUUGAUAGGCCGGGUGUGUAAGCGCAGCGAUGCGUUGAGCUAACCGGUACUAAUGAACCGUGAGGCUUAACCUU